GGGAGUACGGUCGCAAGAUUAAAACUCAAAGGAAUUGACGGGGACCCGCACAAGCGGUGGAUGAUGUGGAUUAAUUCGAUGCAACGCGAAAAACCUUACCUACCCUUGACAUGGCUGGAAUCCCCGAGAGAUUGGGGAGUGCUCGAAAGAGAACCAGUACACAGGUGCUGCAUGGCUGUCGUCAGCUCGUGUCGUGAGAUGUUGGGUUAAGUCCCGCAACGAGCGCAACCCUUGUCAUUAGUUGCUACGAAAGGGCACUCUAAUGAGACUGCCGGUGACAAACCGGAGGAAGGUGGGGAUGACGUCAAGUCCUCAUGGCCCUUAUGGGUAGGGCUUCACACGUCAUACAAUGGUACAUACAGAGCGCCGCCAACCCGCGAGGGGGAGCUAAUCGCAGAAAGUGUAUCGUAGUCCGGAUUGUAGUCUGCAACUCGACUGCAUGAAGUUGGAAUCGCUAGUAAUCGCGGAUCAGCAUGUCGCGGUGAAUACGUUCCCGGGUCUUGUACACACCGCCCGUCACACCAUGGGAGCGGGUUUUACCAGAAGUAGGUAGCUUAACCGUAAGGAGGGCGCUUACCACGGUAGGAUUCGUGACUGGGGUGAAGUCGUAACAAGGUAGCCGUAUCGGAAGGUGCGGCUGGAUCACCUCCUUU
This 653-nucleotide ribosomal RNA is filed under the name Janthinobacterium sp. SUN118. Its description in RNAcentral is "bacterial SSU rRNA". It matches the Rfam family "Bacterial small subunit ribosomal RNA", at positions 876 to 1533 of the family's 1533-position model. Lineage: Bacteria; Pseudomonadati; Pseudomonadota; Betaproteobacteria; Burkholderiales; Oxalobacteraceae. The record is from RNAcentral.